Molecule: long non-coding RNA, 666 nt
Filed under: Cavia porcellus (domestic guinea pig)
Lineage: Eukaryota; Metazoa; Chordata; Mammalia; Rodentia; Caviidae
Description: lncRNA (ENSCPOG00000031251.1)
Source: RNAcentral
CGAGCGAGACCCGCUGGACAGAUGGCCAGCGCGGAGCCCGACUCCGCACUCAGCACGAUGCAACGGCCCGGCCCCAGCGCCUGCGGCCCCCUCCUGCUAGGACUGCUGCUCCCGCUCCUCGCAGCCGCCGCCGCGGACCCCAGCCCCAGCCCUAGCCCCAGCCAGGCCGUCGAGAUCGCAGUGGUCCCAGGCCGCCCGGCCGGCCCUGCUGCUUGUCGCUGCUGCCUAGGCCAGACCCUUAGGAGGAGCCGCUGCAUCCGAGGUGGGUUUUUCCAGGUGGGGCAUGGGAGGGAGGAGCAGGAGAAGAAGGGCUGGGGUUUCCAUUACCCAGCCUUCAUCCCAGCAGGACAGCUGGAUGCACUUGGUGGAGGAAAAGACUCAGUCUCCUCCUUCCCUACUUAGUCCCUGGCUGUCUCCGAAGCCUCCUGCAGGGUCCGAAACUGCCCAUCUGAAAAGUGUACAGGCCCACAGCGGUGUGUGACCCAACUACCUCCACUGCCAAGUCCCAGCCUCAGCCCCAGCCCUGGCCCUGGCCCCGGCCUGGGGAAGAGGCAGGUGUCUCUCAACUGGCAGCCACUGACGUGAGUGUGCAAUCCUACUAUACUACCAGAUCCUCCCUCAGGAACACAUCUCUCCUACUAUUGACUCCCUCUCCUCUCUCUCCUC